GGCGAACGCUGGCGGCGUGCCUAAUACAUGCAAGUUGAGCGCUGAAGGUUGGUACUUGUACCGACUGGAUGAGCAGCGAACGGGUGAGUAACGCGUGGGGAAUCUGCCUUUGAGCGGGGGACAACAUUUGGAAACGAAUGCUAAUACCGAAUAAAAACUUUAAACACAAGUUUUAAGUUUGAAAGAUGCAAUUGCAUCACUCAAAGAUGAUCCCGCGUUGUAUUAGCUAGUUGGUGAGGUAAAGGCUCACCAAGGCGAUGAUACAUAGCCGACCUGAGAGGGUGAUCGGCCACAUUGGGACUGAGACACGGCCCAAACUCCUACGGGAGGCAGCAGUAGGGAAUCUUCGGCAAUGGACGAAAGUCUGACCGAGCAACGCCGCGUGAGUGAAGAAGGUUUUCGGAUCGUAAAAAUCUGUUGGUAGAGAAGAACGUUGGUGAGAGUGGAAAGCUCAUCAAGUGACGGUAACUACCCAGAAAGGGACGGCUAACUACGUG
This 497-nucleotide ribosomal RNA is filed under the name uncultured bacterium. Its description in RNAcentral is "partial 16S ribosomal RNA". It matches the Rfam family "Bacterial small subunit ribosomal RNA", at positions 28 to 507 of the family's 1533-position model. The record is from RNAcentral.